UUCCAGCAUCAGCAGAAACACAAGAAACACACUGUACUAUGAUAAAAUGAUGACUAUGAUGUCACUAGGCAAUGGAAUUUUUUUUUUUAGUUCAGAUAUAACCUAUAUAUGCAGUCUAUUGUUGAUAGAAACAUUGCUAUUUGAUGUGUAAUUGUGUUUGCUCAACAGUAAACCAGGAGACGCAGGGACAAGAAUGAUGCUGAGAUUAGACCAGCCUGUCUUGGUUCCCCAGCCAUAAGGUGAGAAGUUUGCUCUGCCAUGCACUCCUUGCCACCAUUUGGUACUCCCAGCAGAGGGUUCACAAAAUUCUGCAGUGGAACAUCUACAACUGUGGACCAAAACAAAAAUUUACUCCAUAUGAUCACUCUGAAAUGCAACAUUUAUUAGCAUCUUGGUCUAAAGUCUACCUGCUGUUAAUGCAAACAGAUACAGAAACUUGGGGAUGUCUAUCAGGAACCUUCCACUCCUGAGCAUUAGUAAUCAGAAAAUGAUUCCAAAUGGAGCAACUGCUCAAGGCCACAUGACCUGCAGCUGUAUGAAAACAAACUUCUCAAUAAAAUGGGGAGCCUGUUCAAUAUAGUCUCUCUGUGAAGGAGUACUUGGCAGUCACUAAAUAUUAGACUUAAAAAUCAAAACAGCCAGGUGUGGUGGAACAUGCCUU
Non-coding RNA from Ictidomys tridecemlineatus (thirteen-lined ground squirrel), 661 nucleotides. Lineage: Eukaryota; Metazoa; Chordata; Mammalia; Rodentia; Sciuridae. The record is from RefSeq and is a predicted model, not a curated record.